AACCGGGAUUGGAAUCCAGACUUCGGAGUCCAGGGGUGUGGGCCUGGCUGCAGAGUGGCCAUUGCCUUAGGCAGUGGAAGCAUCUUAGGAGGAAUCAGCUUCUGAACCUGUGGCAACUGCUCUUUUGAAGGUGGACAUGAUGUUUAUAACCAUUCGGAAGUCAUUUGGAGUACAGAGAAAAAGCCAGUGAUCAAGCUAAAAGGAACUAUUUUUUGGUAAAAGGAAAUAGGGUACACUCAAACUGAAUGAGACUGGUUUUUCUUCAGUGAUUUAAAAACUGCAUCUAAAUGUAAGCCCAAAGGAGAACCACCCCCCC
Long non-coding RNA from Phyllostomus discolor (pale spear-nosed bat), 316 nucleotides. RefSeq lists it as uncharacterized. The record is from RefSeq and is a predicted model, not a curated record. Lineage: Eukaryota; Metazoa; Chordata; Mammalia; Chiroptera; Phyllostomidae. The transcript is spliced from 2 exons.